This is a long non-coding RNA of Quercus lobata, 704 nucleotides long. RefSeq lists it as uncharacterized. Lineage: Eukaryota; Viridiplantae; Streptophyta; Magnoliopsida; Fagales; Fagaceae. The transcript is spliced from 4 exons. The record is from RefSeq and is a predicted model, not a curated record.
UAGUGGAGGAAGUGAUUAUGAGGAGAAAAUAAUAUCAAGUUCAGGGAGAAGGGAAAUUCAUAAAGUAAGAAAAACGAUGACAAGGAAAAUGCCGUGACCUGUGAUGAUACAGAAAAUGACAGUAAAGUCUUGGAUAAUGAUGAAAAGAAAAAUGCUUUUGGCAUCAGAUGUUAACAGAGUGUGCAGAAUCAGAAUAAUGGCACCGUGAAAGAAUAACUUUGGGGAAGCAUGAUACUUUAAAGUAUCACAAAAGGUUGCCUCUUUGCUAGAACAUCAUAUUUGUUUUGUCAGAUCUGCUUCUGUACAAACUGUUCAUCCUAGUCUCAUUUCCCAACUUGAAAAAAUGAUGCAGGUUAACUGAGCUAGGUAAGACUUGACUUUAGAAGACAGUUCCAUCUCUGCUGCCCUGCCACCAGUGCUCUUAGUGUGAAGUAUAUGAAACCAAAGCCCACAAAUCCCAAGCCUGUUAGGCUAAGAACUAAUGAAAGAGGGAUUCUUGAGGAAGCAAACUUGGAGAAAAAACUUGCCCCUCUGAAAGAAAUUACAACAGCUCCAACGCCUCUGGUUAGAAACUCAGAAAGAAUAUUUAAAAAUGUAUACCUGAAAAAUUAAAAAGUCCAUGGAAAAAGUGAACCCAACUAUGAUGUGCAUGAAGAUGGUGAAAGGAAGGUGGACAGAACAACAAACAAUGAUCAAUUUGUAAG